This is a long non-coding RNA of Lucilia sericata (common green bottle fly), 1422 nucleotides long. RefSeq lists it as uncharacterized. Lineage: Eukaryota; Metazoa; Arthropoda; Insecta; Diptera; Calliphoridae. The record is from RefSeq and is a predicted model, not a curated record. The transcript is spliced from 4 exons.
UCAUGAAUAUGAACCAAUUUUUUAUAAACUCUAAAAUUGAAUUUGUAUUAAUGGAUAUCAAAUAUUAAAUUUUUCAGGUUUUGGCAAUGAUAAACGGAUGGGUGUGUCAAGGCGGUUGCUAUUUUGACUAUGCUUAAUGUGGUUGGCUAAUUUAAAGCGGUUUCAAAUCAUAUUUUCUGUAUGAUCAAUCGGCUACAUCAUUAUAUUAUCAUCUGAUGUGACGACUGUUACGGAUAUUAUCUGAUACAACUAACCUCGUAUACUUAGUUAUAAGGAGAGGCUAUCAGACAUUAUUCCGUUUCUAUACAUUUUAAUAAUUUGAAAAAAGGAAAACAAAACAAAAACUUAAGGUAAUUCGGAAAUAUUUCGCCAUACAAUUAAAGAUAAAUCGUUUUUACUUUAAGCUGCAGCGAUUUAUCCCUACGGCUAUAUGGAUAAACAUUUCAACGUUUCUUGCGAUCUUUUGGGCUAUUUACUACACUAUCUGGGCUAUUUUUACAUGUGUCGAUGUUCAUACAUGUUUCCUUUUAUAGUUUGGAACAUUUCUGCCGAGUCUGACGAAAAUAUUCUGAACUAUCGCAUUUAAUUGGGCGCCAUUUGUGUUAUGAACCGGUUGUAAGGCGAGGUUUCGACUAACUGCAUGACCGACCUCAGGAGGUUCCAACCCUUUCUCGCCAAACUCGUACUCUACACAAAACAAAAAGAGAUAGAUGUUGUCCUCUGUAUCUGCCCUCCCAACCUUGUCGCUGACGGAUCCACGGAAUUCUCUUUAUAGCGACCCAAAUCCCACCUGACCCUUGUAACCACUUACCGGUCUAUCAUCGCCAUUACCUUUACUUAAUUAGACCAACAUUGGCUUAAGCUUCUACUUCUUCAAUUCGAGUUCGAUUUAGCUACAACCUACAACUAAAGGAGCUCCCUGAGUUAUAUCUUUCAAUGCCUUUGUAAUGUAAUAAGGUUUUUGUCUACGCGCUUUUCUUUAGAUCUGGGUAAUAAUCUUAAGAUAUAUAUAUAUAGGUAUUUCUUUCUAAUUCUUGUAUUUUUCUUUUUUUUUUUCUUUUCCGGUAUACUCGAGCUUUAUGUGAUUCAAACAAAAAUACACGAAACUACAGACACUAGCACGGUUUACAAUAUUUCUUCCACGAUCACACAACUACCUUAUUAUAUCUUAAAAUCUACCUUAUUUUCUUUUUUGUUUUUAUAAUUGUUUUUUAAAUUUCUUGUUGGUUGAUAAUUGACCCUCAAUAGGACAAGUUUAAAAUGUUCUUUCAUAUAAUAUUGUCUUCACUUAUUAGCGUUUGUUGAAGAAAUUGUAUAAAGUAUGUUUGUUUGCUAUAUCAAGUGAGUUAGUUAUAUAAUGAUUGUUUUUAUAAAAUGAGUUUGUUUUAAUAAGUAUUUAAAUAUAAUAAUAUAAAGAUUUCA